GCCCGGCUAGCUCAAUCGGCAGAGCGUGAGACUCUUAAUCUCAAGGUUGCGGGUUCGACCCCCGCGUUUGGCU
RNAcentral lists this transfer RNA (73 nucleotides) under Entomophthora muscae. Its description in RNAcentral is "tRNA-Lys". It matches the Rfam family "tRNA". From Rfam's summary of the family: Transfer RNA (tRNA) molecules are approximately 80 nucleotides in length. Their secondary structure includes four short double-helical elements and three loops (D, anti-codon, and T loops). Lineage: Eukaryota; Fungi; Entomophthoromycota; Entomophthoromycetes; Entomophthorales; Entomophthoraceae. The record is from RNAcentral.